GCUGACCAUCCAUGAGGCUGAAGCCCUGGUGUUGGGACUGGCACCGGGCAACAGGAACACAGCCAGGGUUGGGGAGGUCUUCGGAAAGUUCUUCUGGGAGGGACAGAGAAGAUCCUUCCUCGGACGGCAGUGCUGGCCAUCCAUGACCCCUGUUGUGUGUCAGCCAGGCUGGGCUACUCCUCACCUACUCCCUCCUGGGGGAAGCCCAGCAGCUGCUGGGGGACAAGCAGGAGGAUGUUACAGCCAAUGUGAUUCGCAAGUUCCCCAUCAUCCAGCACUUGCGCCAGGUGCCUGAGGCACUGCAGGAGCUGUGCCUCUGAGGCCACCAGCAACUCCCGCUCCCUGCAGCAGGUACUGCUCUGGGUCACUGUAAAUGGGGACCUAGUGGAAGGGAAAAUGGAGCCCCCGGCACACACAGAAACUCUCUCUCCUCUCUGUGGAGCAGGGUCCUUCCCUCUACCCCCCAAAUUCCGGCACAGUCUCCCAGACGGGCGCAGCCUGCAGCUGAGCCACCUCUGGGAGCGGUGGGAACAGGUCACUUCGUCCCAUCAAAGCAAGCAGUGCUGGCUCUCAAAGAGGCUUAGAUGGAAGACCUCACUCCCUCAUGGA
Molecule: long non-coding RNA, 609 nt
Organism: Chelonia mydas (Green sea turtle)
Lineage: Eukaryota; Metazoa; Chordata; Testudines; Cheloniidae
Exons: 3
Source: RefSeq, a predicted model, not a curated record